This 362-nucleotide small RNA is filed under the name Pongo abelii (Sumatran orangutan). Its description in RNAcentral is "retained intron". Lineage: Eukaryota; Metazoa; Chordata; Mammalia; Primates; Hominidae. The record is from RNAcentral.
CGGGGUGAGCUGCAGUCCCCAGAUCUCUUCCACCACAGCAAGCUGGACCCCGACAUGGCCUUCUGUGCCAACGUCCGGCAGCAGGAUGUGUUCAUGUUCCUGACCAACCGGCACACCCUUGGCCACCUGCUCUCCCUGGACAGCUACCGCACCACCCACCUGCACAACGACCUCUGGGAGGUGUUCAGCAACCCCGAGGACUGGAAGGAGAAGUACAUCCACCAGAACUACACCAAGGCCCUGGCAGGGAAGCUGGUGGAGACGGUAAGGGCCAUGGAUACCCUCUUGGACCAGCCUUGCCUGCUGCAGGGGGCAGGGCACAAAAGGGAAACUGCUUGCUCUGGGGAGUGGGGGAUAGCAGG